RNAcentral lists this ribosomal RNA (263 nucleotides) under Enterobacter cloacae subsp. dissolvens. Its description in RNAcentral is "partial 16S ribosomal RNA". It matches the Rfam family "Bacterial small subunit ribosomal RNA", at positions 517 to 779 of the family's 1533-position model. Lineage: Bacteria; Pseudomonadati; Pseudomonadota; Gammaproteobacteria; Enterobacterales; Enterobacteriaceae. The record is from RNAcentral.
GCGGUAAUACGGAGGGUGCAAGCGUUAAUCGGAAUUACUGGGCGUAAAGCGCACGCAGGCGGUCUGUCAAGUCGGAUGUGAAAUCCCCGGGCUCAACCUGGGAACUGCAUUCGAAACUGGCCGGCUAGAGUCUUGUAGAGGGGGGUAGAAUUCCAGGUGUAGCGGUGAAAUGCGUAGAGAUCUGGAGGAAUACCGGUGGCGAAGGCGGCCCCCUGGACAAAGACUGACGCUCAGGUGCGAAAGCGUGGGGAGCAAACAGGAUU